Molecule: RNA transcript, 9155 nt
Organism: Corapipo altera (White-ruffed manakin)
Lineage: Eukaryota; Metazoa; Chordata; Aves; Passeriformes; Pipridae
Gene name: aldehyde oxidase 2-like
Exons: 38
Source: RefSeq, a predicted model, not a curated record
AUAUUUGUAACCUGUGGUGAGACCAAGAAAUAACUUCCAAAUUAUGAAAACUCCAGUCACAAUAUUUAGUUUUCAGCAUCGGAAUCCACAAUACUGAACUCAUUGACGACAUCAGCCCUUCCUGCUCUUCAAGUGUGAAGACAAGAUUUCAGUUCUGAAUGUGCACACACACAAAUACACAAAUCUCCAUGGCAUUUGCACUUGAGGCUUUGAUCUGGGAUGCAUCCUAGCAUAGAGAAAACACUUCACUUUUUUAGUGAGUCUACAAAACUUACCUUAAGUAGCACCAGAAAAAUUGCAGCAAGUUCUUUAACAAUAAAGCAGAAGUGGGAGAAUCAAAUCAGUAGUUUAGAUGUUCACUGUGUGGUUUCAGUGAACCUCUGCAUCAGUUAUUCCUUGCUAAGCAUCAGAUUGCUCUUCCACUUACUCACAGGUCACAUUGCUCCAGCACUAUGACAACUGCCAUUCCUACUGGAAGUAAAUGGCUUUAAUUUGUUUGACAUGUCAGCAUGUAGGCUCUUAUUAUUUCACUGCCUCUCAGUUUUCCACAAUUUUCUCUUCUUGCCCUCUGUCCCUUUUACAAGUUGAUGCUGUAUCUGUGACAGAAAUCAGGUCAGUAGCUUAAAACAGCUUUUGUAUUGGCUGUUAAGAUAUGAAAUCUUUAUUGCUUCAGUUUGUCUCUCUGUAACCACUAUGAGUAGGUGAAAUGCAGCUGCUUAAACGUAGCUGUCCAGACCGCCUUAGAUAUCAUAAGACAGCAGAGACAUAGGAGAGCACAGGACUGGAAGAUAUGAUAUAGCAACUGGAGAUCAAGCAGGUAAUAGCAAAUCAUCUGAAGUGGCACUGAAAGUGUGAUUUAGGCAGCUGAAGCCUUAUUGGUUUUUACUUCUUUUUCUUCACUUUCUUUGUAUUACUUUGGCUUUUAUUUAUUGUUAGAAGAUCAAUAAAUCAAAUUAAAUGUGAAUGCUGCUGCCACAACUCGUUUUUCUGAUUUGAAACAGCUUCUUAGUUUCAUUGCCUGGGUUUGUCAAUGACAGCUCACAACCCCACAUAUCUAUAACAGCCAAAAAAUACGUGUAAAUUCUGGGAUAUGCUGAAGCAGGGAGCCUAUAGGUCUACUGAACUGGGGGGAAGCUACAUUUUCUGUUGUUAUCCUAUGUACCUAUGCAUCAGCACAGGUGCUAAUUAGUUCCAGACAAGUCAAAUCUUCCAAAAAUCAUUGCCCAAUCCUCACAGGCAAUGCCAUCUCCCCACCUGCAGUGCUGAGGUGUUUGCACUCCGAGGACUCAUCGUGUUCUAGACCCACACUUAGUUCUCUGCAGUGCAAAUCUUGUCCGUAUUUCUCAGUCAUUAUUGACAGAGAUUCCUCCCUGCCUCUUUACAAGUGGCACUAUUGUCUAGUUGUCUCAGUAAAUUCUAUACAUGUAGCAAAUAUGAGUUGUUGUUUAUUUUGGGUCCAAACGUAUUAAGCUGUUUGCUGGCUUUUAGGUGUUUGAAAAACUGCAUGGAAGCUAGAAAUAUCAGCAAUUAACCAUCCUGGCAGAUGAUACUAUAGCUACCAUGGGAUAUUAUGAAAGGAAUUUUCUGGGACUAUACAGGGAGAUAAACAAGCAGAAAUGUUGGGGCUCCAAAGGCACUGACAUACUGGAUGGCUACACAUUAAUGUGCACUGUAACUGCACAGUUACACCCAAACUGGAGAUGGUUGAGAAGAACUCUUUCUACUAAUUUACUUCGUAAGAGAAGUGUUUCUUACAAUUAUUCACCCUCAGCAGUCCCAUUCUGUGUGGUGUAAGCUUAAACACCUAAAAUAAAUACUAGGUUCUGGCUUGGAGGGCUAGUAGUCUCUAAAUAGAUAUUGUUCUGCCAAAAUCAGCUAUUUGGUCUGGUUCUUUCUGUUCUCAGGCCUUUGAACUGCAUUGUCAUACCUACAACACAUGGAAUACUACACUCAUGCUGCAGUUGGCAUUAGGGCUUUUGCCUACAGGGACCUGGUGACUGACAUGGCUUCAGUGCUUGUGUUGUUGCAGCUCUCAGGUAUAAAUCAGGGGCUAAACCACAAAAGCAGGAGCAUAUCUCUGCUGAGAAUAAUUUUUUUGCCUUCUGAUGGAGAGUGUUAGAAGAUCAGGGACUGACUACUUUGUCCUGCAAGCCUACACUGACUCUAAAUGAAACGCUGGAAAAUGUGAAAAUGGUAAAUGAAGCAGAAGACAUGUACAUACAUAAAUGGAGACUUUUGAAAGACAUAUACAUAAUUCCCCUUUAAAAAGAAAAAGACCAGCCGUAAUAAGGCAUUUAAAGAUUAAUGACCUUGUUUUCUGGACAGGCAUACGGAGAAAUGGAUGCGAAUCUAGAACUCCAAAUCAGUAUUUGGGAUUUCUCUCUUUAAGGACACGGUAUGUCUUGAGUAUGGUCAUCUUAUAAUGGUACCCACAGCAGUAAGGGCAUAGAGCUGGCAUGGCAUAGAGAUAGCCAGAAGGAAAUUUUAAAUGUGUGUAGAGUAGUAAUGUUGAUUUUGUUAAAACUUAGUUGCUCUGAAGGCAGAAAAUCAUAGAUAGUUCAGGUCAAGGUAAAUGAGAACCAUGGUUCCACAGCUUUCAUUUGACACCCCACAGAAAUGCAUAAUGUUGCUUGUCCUUGGUUCUUGCAUCAGGCAUGCCUAUGUAUUCUAAAUUCACUGCAUUAUAUAAAAUAAAUAGGCCUGGCACCUGUAGCUCAAACCAAAAGUACCCCCUCACAGUUGUCUCUUAGGUUACAGGGUUAGAUUCUUCCCAGAUUAUUUCAAGUUACCCCAGGGAAGAGCUGGGGUAGGGAGUAGGAGGUGGUGCGUUGGCAUCUGACCACGGUUUAAUUGCUGAGAAACAAUAUACAUUGCACUGGCUCCUCCCCACCUGCUUAUUUGCAGACUGAGCAUCAAAUUAAACUCUGCACGACAGAGAAAACUCAGUCGACCUUUAGGACCAUAUAGCAUUUCAUUAAUUUCUCUUGAUGCAUAAAGCUUUAUUUUUCAGACUUUGAUGCAACAGCAUGGCUUGCCCUCAACAAUCAGAUGAGCUUGUCUUUUUUGUGAAUGGCAGGAAGGUAAUAGAGAGGCAGGCAGAUCCCGAAGAAUUGCUGCUGUAUUAUCUAAGAAAGAAGCUCCGUCUUUCAGGUACAAAAUAUGGCUGUGGAGUAGGAGGCUGUGGUGCCUGCACUGUGAUGAUAUCCACAUAUGAUCCUGUUGCCAAACUGAUACAUCAUCGUCCUGCCAACUCCUGCCUUCUCCCAUUAUGUUCACUGCAUGGUGCUGCUGUCAUUACUGUGGAAGGGGUUGGAAGCAUAAAAACCCGGAUUCAUCCAAUUCAGGAAAGGCUGGCCAUAUGCAAUGGCUCCCAGUGUGGCUUCUGCACCCCUGGAAUGGUGAUGUCCAUGUAUGCCUUACUGAGAAACCAUGCAGAACCUUCCAUGGAGCAGAUUGUUUCUGCUCUGGAUGGUAAUUUGUGCCGUUGCACAGGAUACAGGCCAAUUAUAGACAGCUACACAUCUUUUGCUAGGGAGCCAACAUGUUGCCAACUCAGAGGAACUGGACAAUGUUGCUUGGAUCAGGAGGAAUGUGUCUGUUCAUCUUCUACAGGGGGUCAGAUCCUUUCAGGUCUUUGCAAUCCAGAACAAUUCCUGCCCAUGGAUCCAACACAGGAAUUUAUAUUUCCUCCUGAGCUAAUGAGAAUGGCUCAAGAGCAGCAAAGAACAACUCUAAUUUUUCACGGCAAAAGAACAACAUGGAUUUCUCCUCCUAGCCUGAAAGAGCUUCUGAAGCUGAAAGCCAAGUAUCCAAAGGCACCUUUGGUUGUGGGGAACACUAGUGUGGGUCUCAAAAGAAAUCACAGUGGUGUCUAUCAUCCAAUCAUUCUCCAUCCUGUUAGGAUUUCAGAAAUGCAUGUUGUGAAUAGCACAAGUGAUGGGCUAGUAAUAGGAGCUGCCUGCUGCUUGGCCCAGCUCAGAGACAUCCUAAUGAAGGCAGUCACAGAACUUACAGCAGAGAAAACGAAAACAUACCAAGCUCUCUUGCAGCACCUGAGAACUCUAGCUGGAGAACAGAUCAGGAGCAUGGCGUCUUUAGGAGGACACAUUGUAAGCAGAGGAUCAUCCUGGGACUUGAAUCCAAUCUUAUCAGUUGGCAAAUCUGUCCUCAACUUGGCAUCAGAAGAUGGUAAAAGACAGAUUCUUUUAAAUGAUCGUUUCCUUGCUGGCUGUGAGCAUGCAGACAUAAAUGCCGAGGAGGUCAUUGUUUCUGUUCUCAUUCCAUAUUCUAUGAAGGAUGACUUUAUUUCGGCCUUCAGACAGGCUGAAAGACAGAAAAAUGCUUUGUCCAUAGUGAAUUCUGGAAUGCGAGUGCUCUUCCAUCCAGGCACAGACACCAUUGUAGAUCUGAGUAUUUUAUUUGGAGGCAUUGGCUCAACCACACUCAGUGCAAGAAAGUCCUGUGAGAAGCUUAUAGGAAGGCAAUGGAAUGAUCAGAUGCUGAAUGAAGCUUGUAAACUGGUGCUAGAGGAAAUUGUUCUCCCUCCAUCAGCUUCAGGAGGAAAAGUAGAAUAUAGGAGAACUCUGCUUGUCAGCUUUCUUUUCAGAUUUUACCUGGAAGUGUUACAUGGUUUACAUCAGAUGUAUCCCUUCAGGUAUGCUGAGCUUUCACAGGAGAAGAUGAGUGCUUUGGGAGUGCUGCAAAGUGGUGUUCCCCAGGGUGUCCAGAUCUAUCAGGAUGUUGACCCAGGACAGUCUCCACAAGAUCCCGUGGGCCGUCCCAUCAGGCACCAGUCUGGAAUUAAGCACACCACUGGUGAGGCAGUUUUCAUUGAUGACAUUCGUCCCGUGGAUGGAGAACUCUCACUAGCUGUGGUCACCAGCGUUAAAGCCCAUGCAGAGAUCAUAUCAAUUGAUGCAUCAGAAGCCCUUCAGGUGCCAGGAGUGGUUGACGUAGUGACAGCAAGAGAUGUUCCAGGGAAAAAUGGCAAAGAUGAGCAAGCAUAUGCAGAAGAUAAGGUGAUUUGUGUUGGUCAGAUAAUCUGUGCUGUGGUUGCAGAGUCACUGACUCAGGCAAAGUGUGGGGCUGGAAAGGUGAAGAUAGUCUACAAAGAUCUGGACCCAAUUCUGACUAUUGAGGAUGCAAUAAAACAUAAUUCAUACAUUACUGAAGAAAGGAAAAUAGAAAAAGGAGAUAUUGUGAAAGGAUUCAAGUCUGCUGAUGAAAUAAUCGAAGGUGAAUUGCACGUGGGAGGACAGGAACAUUUUUACAUGGAAACAAAUAGUGUACUUGUUAUUCCAAGAGUGGAGGAUAAAGAAAUGGAUGUGUAUGUGUCAACUCAGCAUGCAACAGAUGUACAGGAAUUAGUGGCUUCAGCUUUAAACCUCCAGUCCAGUAAAGUUAUGUGCCAUGUGAAACGUGUUGGUGGAGCAUUUGGUGGGAAGGUUACUAAACCUUCCCUCUUUGCUGUAAUUGCAGCUGUGGCAGCCAACAAGACAGGGCAUCCAGUCCGUUUUGUCCUGGAAAGAAAUAUGGAUAUGUUAAUCACUGGUGGACAGCACCCUUUCUUUGGAAAAUAUAAAGUUGGAUUCAUGAAUGAUGGUAGAAUAAUAGCUGCAGAUUUUCAGUGCUAUAUAAAUGGUGGCUGCACAAAAGAUGAAUCUGAAUUGGUGAUUGAGUACAUUGUGUUGAAAGUGGACAAUGCAUACAAUAUCCCCAACCUCCGAGUCAGGGGACAUGCCUGCAAGACUCACCUGCCUUCUAAUACUGCCUUCCGAGGAUUUGGGUUUCCCCAAGCAGGUCUGCUUAUGGAGACCUGUAUUGUGGCUGUGGCGACCCAAACUGGCCUACCACAUGAGAAGGUUAGGGAAAUAAACAUGUACAAAGGAGUUAACCUAACAUCCUUCAAAGAAAAGUUUGAUGCAGAGAAUCUGUGGAAGUGUUGGGAAGAAUGUCUGGACAAAUCUGACUACUACAGUCGAAAAGCAAUGGUGGAAGAAUUUAACACUAAAAAUUAUUGGAAAAAGAAAGGGAUUGCCAUCAUUCCAAUGAAGUUUUCUGUUGGAUUUAAUGCAACUUAUUUUCAUCAGGCUGGAGCUCUUGUCCACAUCUAUAUAGAUGGGUCUGUGCUAGUCACUCAUGGUGGAAUUGAACUGGGACAAGGAAUUCACACUAAGAUGUUACAGAUUGCCAGUCGUGAACUGAAGAUACCACUGUCAUAUAUCCACUUCUGUGAAACAAGCACAACAACUGUACCUAAUGGCAAAUACACAGCAGGAUCAGUUGGAACUGAAAUCAAUGCAAGAGCAGUGCAGAAUGCCUGUCAAAUCCUUUGGAAGCGCCUGGAGCCUAUUCGAAGAGACAAUCCUGAUGGCAAAUGGGAAGACUGGAUCAGUGAAGCUCACAAGCAAAGCAUCAAUCUUUCAGCUACUGGCUAUUUCAAAGGUUAUCAUACAAACAUGAACUGGGACACACAGAAAGGCCAUGCGUUCCCGUAUUUUCUCUUUGGAGUUGCAUGUUCUGAAGUAGAAAUUGACUGUUUGACAGGAGCCCACAAGAAUAUCAGAACAGACAUUGUCAUGGAUGCCUGUUUUAGCAUAAAUCCAGCUAUAGAUAUAGGACAGAUUGAAGGGGCCUUUAUUCAGGGGGUUGGUCUUUAUACAUUAGAAGAAAUCUACUUUUCUCCACAAGGAGAGCAGCUCACUCUUGGCCCAGACACAUAUAAGAUCCCUGCUGUCUGUGACGUUCCUGAGCAGUUCCGUGUCUAUUUACUGCCCAAUUCACGCAACUCAAUUGCCAUCUAUUCUUCCAAGGGCAUGGGUGAGGCUGGAUUAUUCUUGGGCAGCUCAGUGUUCUUUGCAAUACAAGAUGCAGUGGCUGCUACACGGAAAGAAAGAGGAUUGUCCCUGGACUUCACACUGAACAGCCCCUUGACUGUUGAGCGGAUUCGCAUGGCCUGUGGUGAUGUCUUUACUGAGAUGUGGCACUUUGUUCAGCCAUGUUGACAGAGUAACAUGAACUGACAGUCCAGAACUGAGGAACCUGUGCUGUUUCCUCAGUGGUAUAAUGUAUAGGUUUGAGAAUAGUACAGUUCCCCACUCUUAAAGUGCGAUACAGCUCUGGCUGUUUUUGACAUUCUAUUAUCUUCUAAUAUCUUCCCUCUCACAGAUGGAACAGAUUCCAAAAGACAAACCUGGAACCUAUAAGCCAUGGGCCAUCGAUAUAGCUUAGUACUGCUUUCCUAAGUAUCAACCAACCAGGUGAUUCCUUCAGCCACUUACUGAUCAAAAGCAUUCAUGCAAGAAAGAAUUGUAAUACUUACAUGUACACAUGCAUACAUAUAUAUAUAUCACACCAUCUUUGCAGAACAAGAUAUAAUCACCAGUUCUAUUGUAAGUCUCUAAGUAAAAGACCUCUCAUUAAUGUGUUUCGUGCUACACUGGAAUAGUUGGGGAGUUAACUCAAGAACUUCAAAGCAUUUGCAUGAGAUUCUGAAAAUAUCUGCAGUGAAGAGCAGAUCACAAAUAGAACCAUUUUGUCACUUCUACAUCCAGUUUGAGAGUCACAGCUGUUGUUAUCUAUUUUUUCUGUUCUUCUAACAUACAAAAAUCCCAAAGAUCGGAAUUAGACAAUGUACAAAUUAGUGAUGGGCAAUGUAUCAAUAUUUCAGUAAAAGAGAUAUUCUGAAAGUACAUACUACCAAAUAUUUCUAGACACAGAUAUAUUAUUACCACUGCAGUAACCACAGUAAUACACCAGUAAAGCUUCUUUGCUUCCUGGCAGCCUACCUCAAGCCUGCUCCUUACCACCAGAUCUUUUUGAACCACUGUCAACUUUGACCUCUCCUAGAGCUGGACUAUAAUCACUGCUAUUCACUCACUGCCUCGUCAUCACUUGUUCCUCUUCUCCUCUUCCUUACCCACAGUUUUGCUCCUUCUUUCCAGCAAAAUGGUGAAGCAGAACAUAGCUGAUGCUUCCAUCUGCAGGUGAGGAGAGGGCACGAUGCAAGAGAGGUGUACUGGAGGUAGGAAGGUUUAAACCAGGACAGGUUCCCAGUACCAGCUUCGAGUGACCAUAACACAGGUGAGGUUGCCCAUUGCAGCCGUCAGCAGGCCUGCAUAGCAGAUGUGUAGAUGAAAAGGUGGAGGGGAGCAGAGUUGAGAGGGAAACAAUGACAACAGGAGUUCAUCAUAGUGUGUCAGCUCACAGUUUAACUGAGCUGUGCCAAACAACUGGCACUCUGACAGAGAUUGUUUCGGAAAGGAGCUUUUAAAGUGAUCCAGUGGCAGCUGUAUGCUCAUUUCCCCAUGAGGAGAGGAGACUGAAAAGCAAGUGCAAAGGUAUUUGAGAGGGAGAAAAGGGAAUGGUUGAGCUAAGCCAACAUAGUAAUAUAUACAAAUCAAUAUUCGACUUUGAUAGUUCAAAGCAGUAAAUUUUUCAGUAAGAACACAUUUAACAACAUCAUUGUGUACCCGAAACACUAGCAUAAGAAAUAACUCUGGAGGUGCUUAACAGGUAUUUCAUUAGUUCAGAUCCUCAUUUAUAUAGACAGAAAUUUAGACUAUUUUCAUUUAUUUUAAGGGUGAGGCUUAAAUUAACUCAGUAUAGAAGAGAGUGCAACCUGCACACACCCUCAAAUAAGUCAUGUUUAAUUUAAAUCUGUAGAGAUACAACAAGAUUUUGUUCCUUUACAUGUAAAUUAAUAUUGCAAGUAAUAAGGAAAUUUCUAGCUUAUGUGGGUGAAGUUUUCCUGAUCAUUUCUCUUGGUAAAUAGUGAGAAAUUACAGCUAAUGGAAAAAGCUCAACUGGUAAUAGACUUUGCAGUUCUGUAAUAUCAAAGACUUCAGGAAGCUGACAGCAGGAACUAUUAUGUCUUUUUGUUCCUUUCCGUAAAAUGCAAUUUUAAUAAUUUCUGAUUUAUCUUCUUGGCUUUUUACUUAAUUGUGAUUCAGACAAAUCCUCUCAGUUUAGAAUGAGUACCAAAGUAAUCGGGGUCUUGGGUUUAGAAUGAAUGGGCAAAUAUUUGCAAAUAUUAAGGUGAAAAUCCUUCCUCUGAAACUCCCUUAGGGUAUUUUUGAAUGUAGUAUUUUGGGGAUUUCAUUGGGCUGUUAACUGGAACCUGUAAAAAUGUUUCUUGAAUAAAAGCAAACUUGUAA